GGGCAGGCUGGAGUGUGGGCAGAGAGAAGGACACAAGGACACACAGAUAUCGGGAUCAUGGCGAGAGGUAAGAGGGAAAUAUCUGUUUUGCUGGUGCAAUGGGUCCCCUUUUUUGUUCAUGUCCAUACUUCAUGCAAAACAUGGACUUUUAUUUGGCAAUACACGGCUACCAGCAAGGACAACAUUGCUUUGCCCGUUUUCUAAACUGCGUGUGAGCCCCUGUAAGUGCUAUUCUGAUCCCACUCCAGUGCUUUCAUGUCAAUUUAGGAUUCACAUCUACUUGUGGGGAGCUACAAGGGCUCCUCGCUGGGCAACGGUGCUGCUGGCGGCUGCUGUCCCAGCACCGGGCAGCGCGUCCGUCAGCACGGCCAGAGCUGCUUCCAGCUGCAGAGGGAAGAACGGCUAAGAACUGAGAAACCUGAGGUGGGAAUCCUGGUUUACCUGCUCCGAAGCUGCUGCAGGGCCUGGAAAAAACAUCAGUUGAAACUGCAUGCAUGUCUCCAGGUGUGGACUAACUUCAAGAGUCCAAUUAUUUUCCAUUUUCUGCUGGAUCUGUGUGAUUCAGAAGGAGACAAGAUCACGAGAGGAUGGGGUUGGCUCUUCAGUCACCUCUGAAGCUGACAGAAGUUCUUCUGUUCAAGAACGGUGUUUGUGUUUUGUAAUCAUCACCUCUUGCCAAGGACUCGCUGGCAUUAGGUUCACUCCACACACCUUUAUUCAAAGUGAAGGUCUCUGACAGCCCAGGAUCUGGAAAAGCUGCACCCUCGGAGCGACUCAUUGUGCCGGAGAAACCCACUCUAAGGAGGCUGCGGUGUUUUACAGCGACCUGCCACUCCAAAUUUUGCUCAUUGGAGCUGCUGCGGUGGGCCCGGGGGUCUGAGCGAGCACAGGGGCAACUCCGGAGGUGCUCGCGUGUUGUUUGGCGAAGAGAACGGUGUACGCGUGCGCGGUGAGUCU
Columba livia (rock pigeon) is the source of this 957-nucleotide long non-coding RNA. RefSeq lists it as uncharacterized. The record is from RefSeq and is a predicted model, not a curated record. Lineage: Eukaryota; Metazoa; Chordata; Aves; Columbiformes; Columbidae. The transcript has 3 exons.